GAUGAACGCUGGCGGCGUGCCUAAUACAUGCAAGUCGAGCGAACGGACGAGGAGCUUGCUUCUCUGAUGUUAGCGGCGGACGGGUGAGUAACACGUGGAUAACCUACCUAUAAGACUGGGAUAACUUCGGGAAACCGGAGCUAAUACCGGAUAAUAUUUUGAACCGCAUGGUUCAAUAGUGAAAGACGGUUUUGCUGUCACUUAUAGAUGGAUCCGCGCUGCAUUAGCUAGUUGGUAAGGUAACGGCUUACCAAGGCAACGAUGCAUAGCCGACCUGAGAGGGUGAUCGGCCACACUGGAACUGAGACACGGUCCAGACUCCUACGGGAGGCAGCAGUAGGGAAUCUUCCGCAAUGGGCGAAAGCCUGACGGAGCAACGCCGCGUGAGUGAUGAAGGUCUUCGGAUCGUAAAACUCUGUUAUUAGGGAAGAACAUAUGUGUAAGUAACUGUGCACGUCUUGACGGUACCUAAUCAGAAAGCCACGGCUAACUACGUG
This 497-nucleotide ribosomal RNA is filed under the name uncultured bacterium. RNAcentral's name for it is "partial 16S ribosomal RNA". It matches the Rfam family "Bacterial small subunit ribosomal RNA", at positions 28 to 507 of the family's 1533-position model. The record is from RNAcentral.